UGGAAAUAUCACCACUCUGCAUUUCACAGUCUGGAACGAUAAAGGGACUUAAUUGGUAAACAAAUUCCUGACAGAAUACAGGGCUGCACAUAAACCUUCAUUUCAAUGGGUUUGGACUCAGGCUCUUGCAGAUGGGCAAUUGGAUCCAUAAACUGCUAUUGAAUCAAACUCCUAAAUAGAUAAUUCUGAUGGUGCCAGGUGGUUUGAACUUAUGGAGGCAGUGGAACUGCAGCAUCCAUGACAGCAGCACUCAGUCCUGCAGGGAAGGUUCCCUCUGUGUCACCCCUUGCCAGCAGCUCGAUAGGUGUUGAGCCACCAGGACAUGUCAUUGUGACUUUGUAAAAAAGACAGUUCUAAUGGACUGGAAGAGACCAAAUAAGAGGACCAAGGGAAAUAUUUGUUACAGACAUCUGUAGAACAGAGUGAAAGGAUUGACAGGAAAUGGA
Long non-coding RNA from Zonotrichia leucophrys gambelii, 446 nucleotides. RefSeq lists it as uncharacterized. The record is from RefSeq and is a predicted model, not a curated record. Lineage: Eukaryota; Metazoa; Chordata; Aves; Passeriformes; Passerellidae. The transcript has 3 exons.